RNAcentral lists this ribosomal RNA (751 nucleotides) under bacterium. RNAcentral's name for it is "bacterial SSU rRNA". It matches the Rfam family "Bacterial small subunit ribosomal RNA", at positions 37 to 787 of the family's 1533-position model. The record is from RNAcentral.
CGGCGGGCGCAUGCUUAACAUGCAGUCGAACGGCAGCACGGGUGCUUGCACCUGGUGGCGAGUGGCGAACGGGUGAGUAAUACAUCGGAACAUGUCCUGUAGUGGGGGAUAGCCCGGCGAAAGCCGGAUUAAUACCGCAUACGAUCUAAGGAUGAAAGCGGGGGACCUUCGGGCCUCGCGCUAUAGGGUUGGCCGAUGGCUGAUUAGCUAGUUGGUGGGGUAAAGGCCUACCAAGGCGACGAUCAGUAGCUGGUCUGAGAGGACGACCAGCCACACUGGGACUGAGACACGGCCCAGACUCCUACGGGAGGCAGCAGUGGGGAAUUUUGGACAAUGGGCGAAAGCCUGAUCCAGCAAUGCCGCGUGUGUGAAGAAGGCCUUCGGGUUGUAAAGCACUUUUGUCCGGAAAGAAAUCCCUGGUCCUAAUAUGGCCGGGGGAUGACGGUACCGGAAGAAUAAGCACCGGCUAACUACGUGCCAGCAGCCGCGGUAAUACGUAGGGUGCGAGCGUUAAUCGGAAUUACUGGGCGUAAAGCGUGCGCAGGCGGUUUGUUAAGACCGAUGUGAAAUCCCCGGGCUCAACCUGGGAACUGCAUUGGUGACUGGCAAGCUAGAGUAUGGCAGAGGGGGGUAGAAUUCCACGUGUAGCAGUGAAAUGCGUAGAGAUGUGGAGGAAUACCGAUGGCGAAGGCAGCCCCCUGGGCCAAUACUGACGCUCAUGCACGAAAGCGUGGGGAGCAACAGAAAACCC